This 155-nucleotide ribosomal RNA is filed under the name uncultured Brevibacillus sp. Its description in RNAcentral is "partial 16S ribosomal RNA". It matches the Rfam family "Bacterial small subunit ribosomal RNA", at positions 377 to 525 of the family's 1533-position model. Lineage: Bacteria; Bacillati; Bacillota; Bacilli; Caryophanales; Paenibacillaceae. The record is from RNAcentral.
CGAAAUCUGAUGGAGCACGCCGCGUGACCAUGAAGGUCUUCGGAUUGUAAAGUUCUGUUGUCAGGGACGAACACGUACCGUUCGAAUGGGGCGGUACCUUGACGGUACCUGACGAGAAAGCCACGGCUAACUACGUGCCAGCAGCCGCGGUAAUA